This is a long non-coding RNA of Thunnus maccoyii (southern bluefin tuna), 1039 nucleotides long. RefSeq lists it as uncharacterized. NCBI's taxonomy places the organism in Eukaryota, Metazoa, Chordata, Actinopteri, Scombriformes, Scombridae. The record is from RefSeq and is a predicted model, not a curated record. The transcript is spliced from 2 exons.
UGUUUUUUUAUUUAGCCUCAGGAGCAAAGCAAAACUGAAACAGACAGAACAAGGAUCCCACAAGACUGAACUGAAACACAGGACUGAGAUACUAACUGAACUAACGAGGAGAUGAGGUGCAGACGGGGAGAUGGGCGGAGAAACUCAAGUGAAGGGAAUGAGGAGAUGAAACAGGAGAAUGGAAAGGGCAGGCCUGAUGAGGAUGAUGCAGUGCAGGUUGUGAUCAUCUGAAGUUAACCUGCUCUGGUGGACAGCACAGACCUCUGGUGGACUGGUGGAGGGACGAAGAGCCAGACUGGGUCAGAACCAUGAUAUGCUGAAGAUCUAUUUGGACUUGAUUUUUGAAAUUUACACCAAAAUUAGACAUUUUUGCUCUAAUAUGUUUUAUUGUAAUUAAAUAUAAUCACCUAAACUGAAAAAGAUGUAAGCAUCUGAAGGCUACUUGAGUGUUAAAGAUCAUUUGCAUUUCUCGUUUAAUCCUAAAUGUCACGCCACUAAACAGAACUUUGUUUCAUGUAACUUGAACAGUAUCACUGAACUCAGACUUUCAACUAUAAUGAAUGCCAUCACUAUUCAUUUUGUGUCUUUGCCCACAUCUGAAGGUUUGUUUUUCUGCCUGUUUAAUGUGAUCAAUGCGAGGUGACCCUCGUCUGCAUCAGACUGUACGUGUUCCAAUACAUCAACCAUGUUAUAGAUGUUUUCAUUUUGUUUUGUGCUUUGGAAGCACGUUUUGCACACACGAGGACACACACCCACAUCCAACUGAUCGAUGAUUGUGAUACUGUUGGAGCUUGUAAUAUAGGAGGCACGCUCCUGAUGAACUUUAACUCUUUUACCAAGUAAUUGACAUUUUUGUUCUCAUUAAACUUCUCCCUCUUCUUGUUUAAUGUGAUAUGUAAAUUCUUUAUAACCUCAAAUGACUAUUUUGGAUGUUGUAUCAGUGAAUAAAAACCCCAAAAUGAGAACAAAGCUAAUAAAAAUCUUGCCGCUACAGUGGCUGGUCUUCACUGGUCUGUUUCUGCUCUGCCAUCUGUCCAUU